Molecule: ribosomal RNA, 393 nt
Filed under: Triticum aestivum (bread wheat)
Lineage: Eukaryota; Viridiplantae; Streptophyta; Magnoliopsida; Poales; Poaceae
Description: partial small subunit ribosomal RNA
Source: RNAcentral
AUGGAACGCAAAAGCUACAUGGCAGAGCACAUUUUGGGCACUGGUUCAUUUGGCGCCGUCUUUCAGGCUAAAUGCUUGGAAACUGGGGAGACGGUAGCCAUUAAGAAGUGGAGUGAGCUGUUUCUGAACCUUGUCACGGAGUAUGUCCCCGAGACGCUCUACCGCGGGCUUAAGAACUACAGUAAUGCCAAACAGGGGAUGUCACUUAUCUACGUCAAGCUUUACACCUAUCAGGGGGCUCGUGUACAUUCAUUACUAUUCGGAAUCUGUCACAGGGAUGUGAAGCCACAUUUUUUUUGGUGGGCAGGGCCUUUGGAUGGGAAUCAUCUUCGGUAUUUUGGUCCAGGUCUUGUUGUUCGUGGCCAUCACACUGCACACCAUCUGGCAAAAUAA